RNAcentral lists this ribosomal RNA (371 nucleotides) under uncultured bacterium. RNAcentral's name for it is "partial 16S ribosomal RNA". It matches the Rfam family "Bacterial small subunit ribosomal RNA", at positions 338 to 701 of the family's 1533-position model. The record is from RNAcentral.
CCUACGGGUGACAGCAGUAGGGAAUCUUCCACAAUGGACGAAAGUCUGAUGGAGCAACGCCGCGUGAGUGAAGAAGGGUUUCGGCUCGUAAAGCUCUGUUGGUAGGGAAGAAAGAUAGAGGUAGUAACUGGCCUUUAGUGGACGGUAAUUACUGAGAAAGUCACGGCUAACUACGUGCCAGCAGCCGCGGUAAUACGUAGGUGGCAAGCGUUGUCCGGAUUUAUUGGGCGUAAAGCGAGUGCAGGCGGUUCAAUAAGUCUGAUGUGAAAGCCUUCGGCUCAACCGGAGAAUGGCAUCCGAAACUGUUGAACUUGAGUGCAGAAGAGGAGAGUGGAACUCCCUGUGUAGCGGUUGAAUGCGUAGAUAUAUGG